Molecule: ribosomal RNA, 1006 nt
Filed under: Microbacterium sp. Y19
Lineage: Bacteria; Bacillati; Actinomycetota; Actinomycetes; Micrococcales; Microbacteriaceae
Description: bacterial SSU rRNA
Rfam family: Bacterial small subunit ribosomal RNA
Source: RNAcentral
GCGUGCUUACACAUGCAAGUCGAACGGUGAAGCAGAGCUUGCUCUGUGGAUCAGUGGCGAACGGGUGAGAAACACGUGAGCAACCUGCCCCUGACUCUGGGAUAAGCGCUGGAAACGGCGUCUAAUACUGGAUAUGAGCUGCGAUCGCAUGGUCAGCAGUUGGAAAGAUUUUUCGGUCUGGGAUGGGCUCACGGCCUAUCAGCUUGUUGGUGAGGUAAUGGCUCACCAAGGCGUCGACGGGUAGCCGGCCUGAGAGGGUGACCGGCCACACUGGGACUGAGACACGGCCCAGACUCCUACGGGAGGCAGCAGUGGGGAAUAUUGCACAAUGGGCGAAAGCCUGAUGCAGCAACGCCGCGUGAGGGAUGACGGCCUUCGGGUUGUAAACCUCUUUUAGCAGGGAAGAAGCGAAAGUGACGGUACCUGCAGAAAAAGCGCCGGCUAACUACGUGCCAGCAGCCGCGGUAAUACGUAGGGCGCAAGCGUUAUCCGGAAUUAUUGGGCGUAAAGAGCUCGUAGGCGGUUUGUCGCGUCUGCUGUGAAAUCCCGAGGCUCAACCUCGGGUCUGCAGUGGGUACGGGCAGACUAGAGUGCGGUAGGGGAGAUUGGAAUUCCUGGUGUAGCGGUGGAAUGCGCAGAUAUCAGGAGGAACACCGAUGGCGAAGGCAGAUCUCUGGGCCGUUACUGACGCUGAGGAGCGAAAGGGUGGGGAGCAAACAGGCUUAGAUACCCUGGUAGUCCACCCCGUAAACGUUGGGAACUAGUUGUGGGGUCCAUUCCACGGAUUCCGUGACGCAGCUAACGCAUUAAGUUCCCCGCCUGGGGAGUACGGCCGCAAGGCUAAAACUCAAAGGAAUUGACGGGACCCGCACAAGCGGCGGAGCAUGCGGAUUAAUUCGAUGCAACGCGAAGAACUUACCAAGGCUUGACAUAUACGAGAACGGUCCAGAAUGGUCACUCUUGGGACCACUCGUAAACAGGUGGUGCAUGGUGUCGUCAGCUCGUG